AUGAACGCUAGCGGCAGGCCUAAUACAUGCAAGUCGAGGGGGUAACAUGACGCUUCGGUGUUGAUGACGACCGGCGCACGGGUGCGUAACGCGUAUGCAAUCUACCUACAGCAGAGGGAUAGCCCGUGGAAACAUGGAUUAAUACCUCAUAAUACAGGGGGCCCACCUGGGCAUAUUGUUAAAGAUUUAUCGGCUGUAGAUGAGCAUGCGUCCCAUUAGCUAGUUGGUACGGUAACGGCGUACCAAGGCGAUGAUGGGUAGGGGUUCUGAGAGGAUGAUCCCCACACUGGUACUGAGAUACGGACCAGACUCCUACGGGAGGCAGCAGUAGGGAAUAUUGGUCAAUGGACGAAAGUCUGAACCAGCCAUGCCGCGUGCAGGAAGACGGCCUUCUGGGUUGUAAACUGCUUUUCUCAGGGAAGAAAAAGGUCUUGCGAGACAAAUUGCCGGUACCUGAGGAAUAAGCACCGGCUAACUCCGUG
This 482-nucleotide ribosomal RNA is filed under the name uncultured bacterium. RNAcentral describes it as "bacterial SSU rRNA". It matches the Rfam family "Bacterial small subunit ribosomal RNA", at positions 29 to 507 of the family's 1533-position model. The record is from RNAcentral.